GUAAGGAAUAUUGGACAAUGGACGCAAGUCUGAUCCAGCCAUGCCGCGUGAAGGAUUAAGGUCCUCUGGAUUGUAAACUUCUUUUAUAAGGGACGAAAAAAGGCUUUUCUAAGUCGUCUGACGGUACCUUAUGAAUAAGCACCGGCUAACUCCGUGCCAGCAGCCGCGGUAAUACGGAGGGUGCAAGCGUUAUCCGGAUUCACUGGGUUUAAAGGGUGCGUAGGCGGGCAGGUAAGUCAGUGGUGAAAUCCUAGAGCUUAACUCUAGAACUGCCAUUGAUACUAUCUGUCUUGAAUAUUGUGGAGGUAAGCGGAAUAUGUCAUGUAGCGGUGAAAUGCUUAGAUAUGACAUAGAACACCUAUUGCGAAGGCAGCUUACUACACAUAUAUUGACGCUGAGGCACGAAAGCGUGGGGAUCAAACAGGAUUAGAUACCCGAGUAGUCC
RNAcentral lists this ribosomal RNA (445 nucleotides) under uncultured bacterium. RNAcentral describes it as "partial 16S ribosomal RNA". It matches the Rfam family "Bacterial small subunit ribosomal RNA", at positions 354 to 796 of the family's 1533-position model. The record is from RNAcentral.